CGAUAGUGAACUAGUACCGUGAGGGAAAGGCGAAAAGAACCCCGGUGAGGGGAGUGAAAUAGAUCCUGAAACCGCGUACGUACAAGCAGUAGGAGCCUCUUUUAUGGGGUGACUGCGUACCUUUUGUAUAAUGGGUCAGCGAGUUAUUGUCAGUAGCAAGGUUAACCGUUUAGGGGAGCCGUAGGGAAACCGAGUCUUAAUAGGGCGUUUUAGUUGCUGGUAAUAGACCCGAAACCGGGCGAUCUAGCCAUGGCCAGGUUGAAGGUGCCGUAACAGGCACUGGAGGACCGAACCCACCUAUGUUGAAAAAUGGGGGGAUGAGCUGUGGCUCGGAGUGAAAGGCUAAUCAAGCCCGGAGAUAGCUGGUUCUCCUCGAAAACUAUUUAGGUAGUGCCUCGCGUUUGACUGCUGGGGGUAGAGCACUGUGUCGGCUAGGGGGUCAUCCCGACUUACCAACCCGAUGCAAACUCCGAAUACCAGUAAGUAUUAUCGCGGGAGACAGACAGCGGGUGCUAACGUCCGUUGUCGAGAGGGCAACAACCCAGACCACCAGCUAAGGUCCCUAAUAUCAGUUAAGUGGGAAACGAUGUGGGAAGGCUAAGACAGCUAGGAGGUUGGCUUAGAAGCAGCCACCCUUUAAAGAAAGCGUAAUAGCUCACUAGUCGAGUCGGCCUGCGCGGAAGAUAUAACGGGGCUAAGUAUUGUGCCGAAGCUGCGGAUGCAAUUUAUUGCAUGGUAGAGGAGCGUUCUGUAAGCCGUUGAAGGUGAAUCGUAAGGUUUGCUGGAGGUAUCAGAAGUGCGAAUGCUGACGUGAGUAACGAUAAUGCGGGUGAAAAACCCGCACGCCGAAAACCCAAGGUUUCCUGCGCAACGCUAAUCGGCGCAGGGUGAGUCGG
This 896-nucleotide ribosomal RNA is filed under the name Tripos fusus. RNAcentral describes it as "partial Bacterial large subunit ribosomal RNA". It matches the Rfam family "Bacterial large subunit ribosomal RNA", at positions 485 to 1387 of the family's 2925-position model. The record is from RNAcentral. Lineage: Eukaryota; Dinophyceae; Gonyaulacales; Ceratiaceae.